GACGAACGCUGGCGGCGUGCUUAACACAUGCAAGUCGAGCGAUGAAGUUCCUUCGGGAAUGGAUUAGCGGCGGACGGGUGAGUAACACGUGGGUAACCUGCCUCAUAGAGGGGAAUAGCCUUCCGAAAGGAAGAUUAAUACCGCAUAAGAUUGUAGUUCCGCAUGGAACAGCAAUUAAAGGAGUAAUCCGCUAUGAGAUGGACCCGCGUCGCAUUAGCUAGUUGGUGAGGUAACGGCUCACCAAGGCGACGAUGCGUAGCCGACCUGAGAGGGGGAUCGGCCACAUUUGGACUUAGACACGGCCCAGACUCCUACGGGAGGCAGCAGUGGGGAAUAUUGCACAAUGGGGGAAACCCUGAUGCAGCAACGCCGCGUGAGUUAUGACGGUCUUCGGAUUGUAAAACUCUGUCUUCAGGGACGAUAAUGACGGUACCUGAGGAGGAAGCCACGGCUAACUACGUGCCAGCAGCCGCGGUAA
Molecule: ribosomal RNA, 478 nt
Filed under: uncultured bacterium
Lineage: Bacteria
Description: partial 16S ribosomal RNA
Rfam family: Bacterial small subunit ribosomal RNA
Source: RNAcentral